Molecule: non-coding RNA, 27 nt
Filed under: Rattus norvegicus (Norway rat)
Lineage: Eukaryota; Metazoa; Chordata; Mammalia; Rodentia; Muridae
Source: RNAcentral
UGAGCAUAGUAAGAAGAGAAGCCGUCC